AGACUCCCAGCUCUGCCCAGUUACACUAGGCUUCGCCUGUGUGGCUUCUGUAAUGGGGAGGGAGAGAAAGGAUCUCCCCAGGACCUCAGAUUGGCUUUACUGUGGCAUCUCUUUCCUUGAGGGACACAAUAGGU
Homo sapiens (human) is the source of this 134-nucleotide small nucleolar RNA. The record is from Ensembl. Lineage: Eukaryota; Metazoa; Chordata; Mammalia; Primates; Hominidae.